UAUAAAGUGUCUAAAGGCGGUGGGGAGCA
This 29-nucleotide non-coding RNA is filed under the name Mus musculus (house mouse). The record is from RNAcentral. Lineage: Eukaryota; Metazoa; Chordata; Mammalia; Rodentia; Muridae.